This 459-nucleotide ribosomal RNA is filed under the name uncultured bacterium. Its description in RNAcentral is "partial 16S ribosomal RNA". It matches the Rfam family "Bacterial small subunit ribosomal RNA", at positions 339 to 795 of the family's 1533-position model. The record is from RNAcentral.
CUACGGGUGGCUGCAGUAAGGAAUAUUGCGCAAUGGAGGCAACUCUGACGCAGCCAUGCCGCGUGCAGGAAGAAGGCCUUAUGGGUCGUAAACUGCUUUUAUUUAGGAAUAAACCCCCGAACGUGUUCGGGGCUGAAGGUACUAAACGAAUAAGCACCGGCUAACUCCGUGCCAGCAGCCGCGGUAAUACGGAGGGUGCAAGCGUUAUCCGGAUUUAUUGGGUUUAAAGGGUGCGCAGGCGGGCUAUUAAGUCAGUGGUGAAAUCCCGGGGCUCAACCCCGGAACUGCCAUUGAUACUGAUAGUCUUGAGUUUGGUUGAAGUGGGCGGAAUGUAGCAUGUAGCGGUGAAAUGCAUAGAUAUGCUACAGAACACCAAUCGCGAAGGCAGCUCACUAAGCCAAAACUGACGCUCAUGCACGAAAGCGUGGGGAUCAAACAGGAUUAGAUACCCGGGUAGUC